Long non-coding RNA from Syngnathus typhle (broad-nosed pipefish), 2548 nucleotides. RefSeq lists it as uncharacterized. NCBI's taxonomy places the organism in Eukaryota, Metazoa, Chordata, Actinopteri, Syngnathiformes, Syngnathidae. The transcript has 3 exons. The record is from RefSeq and is a predicted model, not a curated record.
GCCAAAGACGCGCUUUUUGGGGAAGUGAACUGACCUUUCUCGGCUACCGUACACUUCCGCUUCAGUGAGCAGCUAGCUCUUCAGGUUGCUACCUUUUGGGCUUUCGAACUGGAGGCUCCACGUCGGCUGCUGGUCGUCUAUCUGCAUAUCUCAAAAGAGUAAACAAUCAAUCACAACAAAGUAACAAGUUGAAUGGCUGUCUGCUCAUUGCCAAGUGGGACGAGUGGUCGGCCAGUGGUGCACCAUGCCUGGACCUGAGACAAAAAGUGAUCGGUAAGUAAAAAGCUAAGUCAACAUUUUGUGCAGAAAAGGUUUUGGCAUGAUACAUACCAGUGCGCAAGUAGAGUUGUUUAUGGCACAGAGUACUGCAAGCUGCAUGACAAGCAAGCCAAUUUCAUUCCUUGCUGCAUGACCCAGGAAGUAAAUUUGGUUUCUUGCUUCCUGUCAGAAAAUAGGAGAAAAAAAUUAUUGGAAUAAAGAUAAGUGUGUAAUGAGGAGCAUUUAAAUUGCCUCACUUCUCAGGUUGCCUUAGCGCCGAGUAAAUAAGAACACCAAGGUGCUGCUGGUAUGCGGCUUUGCUCUUGUCCUCAGCUUCCGCGACAACCAGAGAAUGCCCCACACUGGACAAAAAAAAAGAAAAACCAACCAGUUAUUCAAAUUUUGAAACAGGUAUGCUAAAAUGUAAUUUACUUUCCUUCCCUUACCAGCGGAGAGCUUUUCAGGCAGCACAGACCCAGGUGUACGCGCUCGGAGGUGUAAGACAAACUGUGGCAGGGUUUUCACUUUCUGGACCUGGAUUUGCCACCUCUGCCUGGAAAGAAAAAGGAAAUUGUCACAACGACUUCAUUUAAGUUAACUGCUUUUGUUUUUUACUGUAGAGUGGAAGCAGCCAGUCGCUGGUGCACAGGCAGAGUUCCUGAAAUGUCGGGAAUAUUCUCCAGGAUUGACACCUGCACACAACACCAACCAAUCAAGCUGCCAUUUAGUAAAUUUUAUUUGUGUGUCAACUCUGAAAAUGGAGACAACCUCAAGGUUGCAUGGUUUUGGAGAGCUUUUAUCUUUGGCCAGCAGGUAGCGGAUUCCCAACUGCAUCUUUACUGGAAAGUGCUCUGCAGAAAGAGGGAGGCUUAAAAAAAAGCACCCAAGUGUUUUUAAAUAAUGCCAAGUUUGUAGUCACCUAUCAGCAGGUCAGACAAGAGGUUGAUGAUUCCACAGGUUCAAAACCUUGUAGAUACACACCAGGAGAGCCAUGCUACAGAAGCUAGGUCCUUUGGCACCACCUAGUGGACAAAAGACAAAUAACAUGCGGAAAUGUUUGACAUGUGUCAAACAUUUGGACGCGUGCGUGUUUCACCAGUGACGAAUGGAGGGCACCACCGGACGUCUCUCCAACCACAGCUCGCUCGUCUGAAAGACACGGUAAUGUUACAAUCAUUCUGCUUUUACAUUUUUGAGCCUAACAAGCAAAUUGAGCAAGAGUAGACCUGCAAGUGUCCCAUGAAGCCAUGAGAAGACUGCAAGGUGGCCAUUUUGGACCCUGCAGACAAGAGAAAAAGAACAAAUGUUUGCUUCAGUCAAUUUGACAAGAUGCCUUGCUAAUAAAUUUUUUUUGCCACUUUGCAUUCAACCUGCUCCCUCUGUUCCAGAUGCAAGCCUGCCUGGGGACAGAAAUGAGAAGACAAUUAGAAGCAGUCGAUUGAAAGAGUUGACUUUAAAACUCACAAAGUCAGUCGGCCAUGACGGGCUCGUUUUGAGGGUUUGCACCUGCAGACAGAAAGUCGAAUAUUAACACGAAUUCAUCGAAAUGCCUGUUUCAGUAAUUCUCUGGUGGAUUCAUGCAAACGCUGCUAUGUCUACUUACCUUCGGCCAAACGGCGCUGUCGUCCAGACGUUGCUAAAUGUUUGUGCAAAAAUAGGGUUAGUCAUCUUUCCACACAAUGCGUGCUUCAGUUUUCAAAAUGUACAUGUACUUACCCACCGUUAAAUGCUUACUUUGUUUGGUUGCACGCCAGAUAAAUGCGUGUUGGUGGUUGUUGGAGAUGUUAACUGCUAACGCUAGCUUCUGCAAACGUUUGAGCUUGCAAGAUGGAAGCACGCCCAAAGUGCAACUAGACGCUGAAAGAGAGCAAAAGCAGUUAGUUUCAAAAGGUUUAACAAAAGUUGAACACCCACCUUGUCACUUUUACACGCUGUUGUACGGCCGGCGCAGCAGGUGGACCAGAGCAACGUGGCUCUCGCUGUCAGUGGUGAGUGCAAGAAUGAGCGUCGCGAUCUUGACGCCUUUUAUACUCUUUUUGUGAUGACGUCAUUAGAAGAAGAAAAAAAGAAAAAAAAACUUUCAAACAGGCGCUAAUGCGAGAGAAAAACUGCCAAGACAAUUCUCUGGAGGGUUCUGGCCUCGAACCAGCACUGCAAAGUUCGGAGGCAAUGAUGUUAUCCCCUCGACCAUUGUCCCCUGAAUGUUGACAGAAUAAAUUUGUCUAUUGUUCCAAAUCAUGAAGAUAUCUGCAAUAAAGGUUCAGAAUAACGUUCAAUUACAACCACUUGA